Molecule: ribosomal RNA, 512 nt
Filed under: Ceratocapsus sp. WCW-2003h
Lineage: Eukaryota; Metazoa; Arthropoda; Insecta; Hemiptera; Miridae
Description: partial 16S ribosomal RNA
Rfam family: Bacterial large subunit ribosomal RNA (bases 386-512)
Source: RNAcentral
GUUCUUUUGUUUAAAUAAAAGAUCUGACCUGCCCAAUGAUUUUUAUUUAAUGGCUGCAGUAUUUUGACUGUACAAAGGUAGCGUAAUCAUUUGUCUUUUAAUUGAAGUCUAGAAUGAAUGGUUUGAUGAAAAAUAUACUUUCUUUUUUUUAUAAGAAAAAUUUAAUUUUUAAGUUAAAAAGCUUAAAUUUAAUUGUAGGACGAGAAGACCCUAUAGAACUUUAUUAUUAUAUAUAUAUAAAACAAUAUAUAUAAUAUAUGUUUAUAUAUAUAUAAUAAUUAUAUUGGGGUGAUAGAAAAAAAUUAAUAACUUUUUUUAUUUUUAUCAUUUAUUUAUGUUUAGUUUUUGAUCCUUUUUUAAGGAAAUAAGAUUAAGUUACCUUAGGGAUAACAGCGUUAUUAUUUUGGAGAGUUCAUAUCGAUGAAAUAGUUUGCGACCUCGAUGUUGGAUUAUAAUUAGAUAUAGGAGUAGAAUAUUAUAUUCUAGGUCUGUUCGACCUUUAAAUUUUUACA